CCAAACCGUUUCUGAUGGCGCAGCCAUGCGGGGAAUUCCGUGUGAAUCGGAAACAGUCGCGCUGCGGUAAGAGGGUACGGAGCUUCUUUGGCGACACGCCACGACAGCCAGCCGUCACGGUGAAGGCGAAGCAAAGGCCCGGAGGCAUGCCUCCCCAUUCCCUCAAGUCCGAAUACCCGCCCCAUCCCCAACCUUUCA
Molecule: non-coding RNA, 198 nt
Filed under: Desulfovibrio piger
Lineage: Bacteria; Pseudomonadati; Thermodesulfobacteriota; Desulfovibrionia; Desulfovibrionales; Desulfovibrionaceae
Source: RNAcentral